CAGAAUAAAGUUUUAUUAAAUAUUAGUUUUGGAGACUAAAGAAGCUUUGGUAUAAAGGCUAUUCUGA
This 67-nucleotide transfer RNA is filed under the name Prolachesilla sp. GRA2sp1LA. RNAcentral describes it as "tRNA-Pro". The record is from RNAcentral. RNAcentral also lists the same sequence under 1 other name. Lineage: Eukaryota; Metazoa; Arthropoda; Insecta; Psocodea; Lachesillidae.